Ictalurus furcatus (blue catfish) is the source of this 1519-nucleotide long non-coding RNA. RefSeq lists it as uncharacterized. The record is from RefSeq and is a predicted model, not a curated record. The transcript has 4 exons. NCBI's taxonomy places the organism in Eukaryota, Metazoa, Chordata, Actinopteri, Siluriformes, Ictaluridae.
UGUGCCUUUUCUGUCAUCUCUAGUGUCACCAUCGUUGCAGCUCCAUUUCUGACACCAGUCAAGCAUAAAUAUUGCUCUUCCAUAGAAGUUACAUGUGCGUUCGAUGGUUUAUUUAGUAUAUACAUUUAGUGUCUUAGUGAGGUUUUGGGCACCACAGGCCACCAGAACAGUUUCAGUGGGCCUUGGCAUAGAUUCUCCAAUCCACUGAAGUGAAGAGAUGAAAACCCAAUGAUCCGUAUAGAGAGUGCUAGAACGACACUGGUCUACUAAGAUGUGGAAAAAAGUAAUACGGUCAGAUGAGCCAUCCCUCUCCAUAUUCUCAAGUGGUUGAGGUCAUCUGUGGCAUACACCAAGAGAAAAGGAGAGGCAUGGAUGCUGCACCCCAACAACAGGGGUCCGCUGGCUCUGGGGAGUUGGCAUGUUUUGGGUCGUCUUGUCCCCUUAGAGGAAGAAGCUACUGCAAAUCAAUAAAAGUUGCUCCGAGUGAUCACCUUUAUCCUACGAUGAAACAUUUCUCUCCUGAUGGGAGUGGUCUCUUCCAGGAUGACAAUGCCCCUAUUGCCCUCACUGAAUGGUUUGAUGAGUUCACAGUCACCAGAUCCCAACCCAGUUGAACACCUAUGGGAGAUUUUGGACUGAUGCGUUAGACAGUGCUCUCCGUCUACAUCAUCACAAUCAAAACACUUGGAAGAAUGGUGUUCACCCCUCCAGUUGAGUUCAGAGACUUGGAGAAUCAAUGUCAAGGAGCACUGAAGCUGUUCUAGCAACAUGUAGUGGCUCAACACCUUACUGAGACACUUUAAGCAGGUUUUUCCUUUGUAGCCUGUCUGUAUGUGAAAAUAGGAUUAAAUCAUAUACUAUACUAUGGUCCAUGAAGUAGUUAAAGUUGGAAAUGUAAGUAAGAAAUGUAACUGAAAGAGAGAGAGGCAUUUUGAUUUUGAUUAUAUGAUUGAUUUUUGAUUCAGUUUUCAAAUGCUUAUUUGUACUCAGAGCGGUUAUUUUGUGUCUGUUGACAUUAUUUCAGGGAAACUGAUGCUUCCUAAAUUUGAAAAUGGCACAGAGGUAUGACUCACGCUGGAGAAGAAAAGUCAAGAGCCAGCAAAGUACUUGCAAAAGAUGCAGAAGAAAGCUAGACACACAAGGAGUGGAGAAUGCAGACUACUUCCAGUGUCAGCACUGACUAUUUUGGUUGACUGUAUAAACAAAGAAUUGGCUGGAGAGGGCUUGGACAGCAGCACACUUAUCUGAAAGCUGAAAUGUGUAGGAAGGUGCUAUGUCCCUGUAUCCAUCCAGAAUGAAAGUGGAGGCCAGAUGACUAUUGCACUGAAGGAACACCUUGUCUUCCUGAAUAUACUACAUUUACACCGGUUAUGAGUCAGUUCUGAGAUUUUGGCAGGUUUGCUUUGAUACAGCUAACAUGCUGUCUUCAUUGUCUAAAUGGCUGCAGUACAAGAAAGUGAUCAUUUUCUGAAACUGAAAGACACUUGGAAUUAAUAAAAAAUAAAUAAAUAAAUAAAUA